Molecule: unclassified non-coding RNA, 361 nt
Filed under: uncultured fungus
Lineage: Eukaryota; Fungi
Description: partial contains small subunit ribosomal RNA, internal transcribed spacer 1, and 5.8S ribosomal RNA
Rfam family: Eukaryotic small subunit ribosomal RNA (bases 1-73)
Source: RNAcentral
GCAAACUUGGUCAUUUAGAGGAAGUAAAAGUCGUAACAAGGUAACCGUAGGUGAACCUGCGGUUGGAUCAUUACUGAAGUUAGGGUGUGAACGGUCGUUCAACCUACUCCCUGUGUGAACUGUUAUUACUCUUUUGGCGGUCCACAAACAUGUCGGCGCGUCUUCAUAUGGUUACUCACUUGACCGAGAGUUUUGUGAAUGCCUAUGUAAAGGACGCGACUUCGGGCCGCCUAACUGCGUUAAAUUCCUUGUUUAAUAUAUUUUUUUGUCUUAUGAUGAUUCGCACAAGCGAACGCUUAAUAAUACAAAUACAACUUUUGACAAUGGAUCUCUUGGCUCUUGCAUCGAUGAAGAACGCAGC